RNAcentral lists this unclassified non-coding RNA (2417 nucleotides) under Amphibalanus amphitrite. RNAcentral's name for it is "transmembrane protein 43 homolog, transcript variant X2". The record is from RNAcentral. Lineage: Eukaryota; Metazoa; Arthropoda; Thecostraca; Balanomorpha; Balanidae.
UAUUACAACUUAGUCGCAUUUCAUUGGAUUUAAUCGAUUUAUUCAAAUAGUCCAAAGCAGUCCAAAUUAUGCAAUGGUGUAGAUCAAAUUAUGCAAUAGAUAGAUCCCAGAUUACCAAAGAAGACUGGACCUCACCAACACUGUACUAGAACGAAGAUAACCGAAGAUCACGCCGCUUUGCCCGCGGUCGCUGUCCCUACUUUUCAUUUUGGCCGUUCUCUGACUCUGAGAUAGGUAUUUUACAGAGAAACAGGAUGGAUGAGGAUGGGCUACGGCAGAGGCAAACAGGCGCUGCCAGAGAUGAUACUGAGCCACUCCUACACUCAAGGACUCAGGCCAGACAGCCAAUGUCAUUUUGGGAAUCCAUCAAGGCCAGCAUGGUGCUAUCUCUUGUAGGGAUAGCUAUCUUCUUUGGUGGUAUCGGACUGCAGUUUUGGAAUGAGGGUCGGGCGGUGGAGCGCGCCAAGGCGCUGUCGGAGGGUCUGAGCAGCGCUGUGCCGCUGAGCGCCCCGCAGCGGCCACUGCCAGAGAACGACGGCCGCCUGGUGCACUUCACGGCGCAGCUGGAGGUGCCGCAACCGCUGACCGAGCCGCGCUACGGCGUGGCUGUGGCCGCCGUCAAGCUGAAGCGGCGCGUCCAGAUGUACCAGUGGGUGGAAGAACAGAGCAGCAGGACAGUGGAAACGGCCGAUGGACAACAAGUGGAGACGUCGUACAAUUACUACAAAACAUGGAAAGACAAACUGGUGGACAGUUCGUCGUUCAACUCGCCGUUCAAUCACGAAAACCCAAAGACGAUGCCGCUCGAGUCUCGGAUCCAGGAGGCGCCCGUGGCGCACCUGGCCGGUUUUCUGGUGACCGAGGAGCUGCGCCAGCUGCUGACGCGCUUCACGGUGUUCGCCUCUGACGAGCGACCGGCCGACCGGAGCAUCAAGCUGCACGGCGACAUCUUCUACCACUGCGACAACAUCGAGUCGCCUGCGGUGGGCGACAUGCGCGUCCAGUUCGCCUACGCUGGGAAGUCGGGAGACACGGUGAGCGUGGUCGGUAAGCAGGAGGGCGACCGUCUGGUGCCGUACCGCACCUCCAACGGCCACCAGCUGCUGCUGCUGCAGCCGGGCCGGCGCACGCACCACGACAUCUUCGCCGACGAGCUGUCGUCGAACCGGGCGCUGACUUGGUGGCUGCGCGGCGCCGGCUGGCUGCUCACAUUCGUCGGCCUCAGCUGCCUCACCAGCCUGCUCAACGUGCUCGUGAGCCGGUUCCCGGUGGUGCGCGAGGUGGUGGCGCUCGGCGUCACCUCGCUCAACUUCAGCGUCUCGGUGGCCGUCUCGCUGGCCACAGUGGCCGUCAGCUGGCUGUGGUUCCGGCCGCUGGUCGGUGUCGGCCUGCUGGUGGCCGCCGCGCUGCCCGUCCUCUGGCGCUGGCGCUGGGCAGACGCCGACCAGUGGGAGCCGCGCCCGCCACGGGUCACCGUCACACGGCCCCGCGGCCUGUUCAGGAGUCAGCGCGCACCGCCCGCCGCAGCCGCAGCCGGAGCCGCCGCCGCCCAGCCGCCGCCGUACGGCUGGAGCGUGCCGUCCUGAUCACGGCGCUGCUGGAGGUCGGUGCCAGUCAUGGGUGCCGUCCUGAUCACGGUGCUGCUGGAGGUCGUUGGUGGAGGGGAGGUCUGUUCUGGGCGGCUGGUGGCGGCAGGGUGCUGUCUCGGUUGGUUUCUCGGGUCCGAAGCAGUAUGACGGGUCGCUGGUUCCCGGUAGGCGCAGGGCCUUAUAGUGAGGUGCGGUAAUGUGUCGUCUAUGCCUUGUCUCGUGUACUGAGUCGUGCAGUGCUAGACAAGUUACGGAAGAACAGCCAAAGAAAGGGCAGUCGAGUUGUUUGUGAUUCCUAGAAACGUAUUUAUAGUGUUUAUACAGCAGCUCUCAAGUGCCAAAUGGGCUUAGUGGUAAGCUCAUAAACGGUUCAUAGAUAGCGAGACGUACUGCAUGUCUAUUGUCGAUAUAUCGAUAAAUCAAGACUUGAAUCUAUUUCAUGUAUGGUUACCUGGCAUAUGGAAUCCAGGCUCUCUUCGCGAUCCUCAGCUUGAUGAACUUUGUUCUGAUAUUACACUUGUAUCAUUAAAUAUUGUGCUCAUUUGCAUCUUUUCACCAUUUGUAUCGUAAAUGCAUAAGCAUUGAGACUGUAAGUCGUUAAUUUUAAGCGUGGGCUUUUUUGUAUACCAAUUACCAACGUCAGACGUUAAACGAUUCCAUGUCGCAGUGGUGGUUAUUUAUUGUCCAAUUUGAGCAUUCAAUACCGUAAGGUAGCCCAAGGUGAGUUGUUUUCCCGUCCUUCAUGCUUGGAUGGGGCCAGUCAAAGGAUGCACGGUUAGUGGUUGUGAUGGGGUAUGGUAUUGCCUCAAUACACCGCAUUCGAAAUGA